CAGUGGGAUUUUCUCUAAUGAUACUAAGAAAUUCAAACACACACACACACACACACACACACACUCUCUCUCUUUUCAGUAAUCAUAUUAUUGAUAGUGCUAUUGGAAUUGUUAUUUUAAGAUUCAUCCAUUGGGAGUUCCUUAUUUUCAGCCUACAAAAAGAAAAAAAAUAUGUAAUGUAGAUUAGAUUAAGCAAAAAUUCUACAGUCUUAAAUUUGAUUUUGAAGUAUUAGUAUGACCUCAUGAUAAUUUCAUCUUUUAAAAAAACCUAUUUUCUACCUCUGCCCACUGAAACAUGUCUAAAAACAAAGGUCAACCCAGGAUCGAUGUGUAUUCCCUAAAUGCCACUAAGAAAUGACUAACAUCAUGUCUGGGAAGGAAAUGUACAAAAUGAGCCUGGAUCUUCAUGUACCAUAGAGAAAACAUAACAUCAAAGACCAUUGAAAGUGUGUAGAAAGGACUCAGGAGCCAUCCUGAGAAGCCUCUUACUGGCCAGAGAUGGGUCAAUUUAAAUAUCAGUAAAGAUAAUGGCAAUAGAUUGAAAGACAUCAGAUACAUUUAAAUUUCUUAGUUAAUAAUGGCUAUAGAAAUAAAAACAAUUGGCCACUUUUGACCAGUGAGUUAUUUAACUAUUUUGAAAACUGGUAAAUAAAGAAAAAAGAUUAAGCAUUUAUUCUGACUUUUCUAUAUGACCAAUACUUCAAGUCAACCAAGUAAUGUAUGAGAAUUUUCUCUUUAUGGAAGGAUUCCAGGUAACAAAUUUAAAGAGUAUGAUAGAAUUAUAACAUCACCUUUCUGCUACUCCUAAUGAUAUAGUGUAUCUAAAUAAUAGUCAUCAAUCACUGCUGACUUCACGAAAAAGGAGACAAUUAGACAUUUUAUAUGCCCUAAUAGAGGCUCACAGCACCAUUUAUGCAGUUGACUUGCCAAAUGAAUCCAAGGUGAAUGUGAUUGAGCCUCUAGAUCCAACUAAUAAUUUGCAGAAAACACAUGGGACAGAAAAGCAUGAUACGUGAAACCACAAGGAUCCAAUUAGCAAAUUCUUACGGGGGAAAUUCUAUAGGAAAAUAAUGUGUUUAAAAAACAAAAGAGUAAGAGGAAAAUUGAAUCUAUACAUUAAAGGAAAUUUAAAUGACAUAUCAACCAAUUUUAGUGUAUGGAACUUAUUUUGAUGCUGAUUUGAAGAUAUUUUAUAAAUGUAUCAAAAUUAUAAGAUAAUCAGAGACAUCUGUAUACAGACAUUUAAUAUUAAGGAACUAUCAUUAGGUAGGAUAAUGAUAUUGUGCUCAUUCGUAAAACAAUAUUUCUAUUUUAGAGAUAAAGAAUUAACAUUUUACGGAUGAAAUAAGAUGAGGCCCGAGAUUCAUUUGAAAUAAUCCAGGAUAAUAUUCUGUUUACUUAAGGGACACAAAGUAAAUAAAUGUUUUUGAAACUGAAUUGGAUUGAAGUGGAUCCAGAUUUUCACAGGAAAAAAGUUUCCUUUUCCCUUAGUUCUCCUUACACACCUGGCUUUGCAGGAAAAGAAAUUAGCAUUUGGAAACACACAUCUGCCUCAGCCACAGAGGGAAGGAGCUCUGUGUCAUAAAAGUGACCACAGCUGAGCCGAUCUCGCCCUAUGCCAGUCCACGUGGUAAUUUUGGAAGGGCCCUGGGAUAUCUGACCUUAUGAUGGUAGAAAAGGCUUGGACUACAUGUUUGGUUUGAAGUUUGAAAAUCUCAGUCCUUCCCCAACCAUCAAAAAUAUUUACCUCCCUCCCUUGUCUCACAAUCAUCUAAGCUGCCUCCUUGAAUUGACUCCCACACCUGUUCAUCAUAGAAGGAAAAAAAUAAAAGCAAAUGCCAUAUAAAAUCUCUCUUCUUCAACAAGGUCUUCUGUUUUGAAAUACUGAAACAGUUCCUGUUCUAUUACCUCACCAGCUGUGGCCUUUUAUCUCCUAAAGGGAAUAGCUGACGUCUUACCAGUCAAAGUCAUUGUGCUUACGGACGCCAUAAAUAUCUCCUUUAAAUCCUACUUGAUAAAUUUCCCUCUGAUUGGUAAAGCAGAUACUGUAACAUGCAAAGGGGGAGCAGGAGAGUCUUUGAUGAUGUUAAACUAAGCCCCUGGAGAUAUCCCAGCUCUUCCUCCAGAAUUUUACUUUCCAACAACUGGAGUCAACAAAUACGGUAGAAAAUGUUGUCUGGAUUAUCUACUCCCAUUAUUUUUUUUUAAACUGGUUUUCAAUGAUGGGCAACCUAAAAUUUACUCACACAGAACACAAAACAGUUGAAUUUGUUAAAAGUCCAAAAUGUGCUUUUGUACUUUUGUAAAAUGGGAAUGUGCUUCUUGUACAAAUCACAAUAUGCUUUCUAGACCACAACCUAAAAAGGAAAGAAAAAAAUCCUGUGAAUAAAAAAUAAAACAAGGACUUUCAGUUUUCUACAUGCAUUUGAAAUGACUUUAUCUCUGACUCAUGUUCUACUUUAUUUUUGAUUGGGAAGACCUGUUCCUAUACUGUAAUUUUUUUUUAAUAAUAAGUUUCCAUUUGUAACUAUUAGUUGGUCUUUCCACAAAAUUGGUUUGCUGGAAAGGACUGAGAAGAGAAAGAGCAUUCCUGGAUCAAAUGGAACUGAUGAGUGUGGAAGUCCUUGAACUUGACCAAGCAUUGUCAAUUCUCAUAGUCUGACC
This is a long non-coding RNA of Pan troglodytes (chimpanzee), 2664 nucleotides long. RefSeq lists it as uncharacterized. The transcript has 4 exons. Lineage: Eukaryota; Metazoa; Chordata; Mammalia; Primates; Hominidae. The record is from RefSeq and is a predicted model, not a curated record.